This 117-nucleotide ribosomal RNA is filed under the name Armatimonadota bacterium. Lineage: Bacteria; Bacillati; Armatimonadota. RNAcentral also lists the same sequence under 1 other name. The record is from RNAcentral.
UCGGGUGGCCAUGGCGAGGGGGAAACACCCGUUCCCAUCUCGAACACGGCAGUUAAGCCCCUCAGCGGCGAAAGUAGUUGGCUGGCAACGGCCUGCAAGGCUAGCACGCUGCCCGGA